This is a non-coding RNA of Triticum aestivum (bread wheat), 115 nucleotides long. NCBI's taxonomy places the organism in Eukaryota, Viridiplantae, Streptophyta, Magnoliopsida, Poales, Poaceae. The record is from Rfam.
CAAGUACUCCCUCCGUUCGGAAUUACUUGUCAUCAAAAUGGAUGUGUCUAGAACUAAAAUACAUCUAGAUACAUCCAUUUCAAUGACAAGUAUUUUCGGACGGAGGGAGUACAAG